Molecule: ribosomal RNA, 531 nt
Filed under: uncultured bacterium
Lineage: Bacteria
Description: bacterial SSU rRNA
Rfam family: Bacterial small subunit ribosomal RNA
Source: RNAcentral
GAGUUUGAUCCUGGCUCAGAUUGAACGCUGGCGGCAGGCCUAACACAUGCAAGUCGAGCGGCAGCGGGAAAGUAGCUUGCUACUUUUGCCGGCGAGCGGCGGACGGGUGAGUAAUGCCUGGGAAAUUGCCCAGUCGAGGGGGAUAACAGUUGGAAACGACUGCUAAUACCGCAUACGCCCUACGGGGGAAAGCAGGGGACCUUCGGGCCUUGCGCGAUUGGAUAUGCCCAGGUGGGAUUAGCUUGUUGGUGAGGUAAUGGCUCACCAAGGCGACGAUCCCUAGCUGGUCUGAGAGGAUGAUCAGCCACACUGGAACUGAGACACGGUCCAGACUCCUACGGGAGGCAGCAGUGGGGAAUAUUGCACAAUGGGGGAAACCCUGAUGCAGCCAUGCCGCGUGUGUGAAGAAGGCCUUCGGGUUGCAAAGCACUUUCAGCGAGGAGGAAAGGUUGGUAGCUAAUAACUGCCAACUGUGACGUUACUCGCAGAAGAAGCACCGGCUAACUCCGUGCCAGCAGCCGCGGUAAUCCC